GAGAGAACUUGCUUCCUUUUGCUCCUCUCUGGCACCAAGAACAUGUGCCAGGCAAGACCUGCAGCAGGUAGGGUGCUUGACUGAGGGAGUACAGCUGUCAAAGCCUAACACAGGUGUCCUGAUGAGCUCAGGGAACAGAAACGUCCCAAGGAGUAGAAGGGCAAAAACUCACUUGGUGUCAAUUUUCAGUAUGAAUACAGACCGUGAAAGCGGGGCCUCACGAUUCUUCUGACUUUUGGGGUUUUAAGCAGAAGGUGUCAGAAAAUUGACCACAGGGAUAACUGGCUUGUGGCAGCCAAGUGUUCACAGUCACAUUUUGAUCCUUCAAUCUCAGCUCUUCCAGUCAUUGUGAAGCAGAAUUCAUCAGGCACUGGAUUGCUCACUCAUAACAGGGGAUAUGAGCUGGGAUUAGGCUGUUGUGAGACAGGUUAGUUUUACC
This 439-nucleotide non-coding RNA is filed under the name Manacus vitellinus (golden-collared manakin). Its description in RNAcentral is "Eukaryotic large subunit ribosomal RNA". It matches the Rfam family "Eukaryotic large subunit ribosomal RNA", at positions 2540 to 2993 of the family's 3401-position model. The record is from Rfam by way of RNAcentral. Lineage: Eukaryota; Metazoa; Chordata; Aves; Passeriformes; Pipridae.